RNAcentral lists this ribosomal RNA (481 nucleotides) under uncultured bacterium. Its description in RNAcentral is "partial 16S ribosomal RNA". It matches the Rfam family "Bacterial small subunit ribosomal RNA", at positions 28 to 507 of the family's 1533-position model. The record is from RNAcentral.
GACGAACGUUGGCGGCGUGCUUAAUACAUGCAAGUCCACUGAAGCAGUGGUAGCAAUAUCGCUGUGGAGGUGGCGCACGGGUGAGUAACACGUAGGUAAUCUGCCUUCAGGUCUGGCAUAACUCCGGGAAACCGGGGCUAAUAGCAGAUGAUGCAGCGGCUCGACAUCGAGACAGUUGUUAAAGCUAUGGCGCCUGAAGAUGAGCCUGCGUCUGAUUAGCUAGUUGGCGGGGUAACGGCCCACCAAGGCAACGAUCAGUAGCUGGUCUGAGAGGAUGAUCAGCAACACUGGAACUGAGACACGGUCCAGACUCCUACGGGAGGCAGCAGUAAGGAAUAUUGCGCAAUGGGAGAAAUCCUGAAGCAGCAACGCAGCGUGAGGGACGAAGGGCUUUUGCUUGUAAACCUCUGUAGUGAGAGAAAAAAAUCCCAAUCUUUGGGACAUGAUGGUAUCUCAAAAGUAAGCCCCGGCUAACUACGUG